GUCUGACCUGCCCUAUGAUAAAAUUGAUUAAAUGGCCGCGAUAAUUUGAUCGUGCAAAGGUAGCAUAAUAAAUAGUUUUUUAAUUGAGAACUGGAAUGAAAGGUCGAACGAGAAAGUUACUGUCUCAAUUUAAUUUAAAUUAGAAUUUUAUUUUUAAGUAAAAAAGCUUAAAUAAUUUUAAAAGACGAGAAGACCCUAUAGAGUUUUAUAUUUAAUUAUAAUUAAUUUAAUUUUUAGAAUUUAAUUUUAAUUAUUUAUUUUAAGUAUUUGAUUGGGGUGAUUGAAAAAUUUAAUGAACUUUUUUUAAAGAUUUUACAUUGAUAUAUGAUUAAUUGAUCCAUAUUUAUAUGAUUAAAAGAUUAAAUUACCUUAGGGAUAACAGCGUAAUUUUUUUUGAGAGUUCAUAUCGAAAAAAAAGUUUGCGACCUCGAUGU
Molecule: ribosomal RNA, 434 nt
Filed under: Onthophagus usurpator
Lineage: Eukaryota; Metazoa; Arthropoda; Insecta; Coleoptera; Scarabaeidae
Description: partial large subunit ribosomal RNA
Rfam family: Bacterial large subunit ribosomal RNA
Source: RNAcentral